CAUGAAAUACUAAAUAUAGACGAAAACAAAAACUAAUUACACAGUUUAGCUAUAAAUCACGAGAUGAAUCUUUUGAUCCUAUUUAGUCCAUGAUUAGAUAAUAUUUGUCACAAACAAACGAAAAUGCUACAGUGCAGAAAACUUUUCACUUUUUCGGAACUAAACAAGGCCUGGCCCUGUUUAGAUCGAGGACGAAAAUUUUUUUGGUGUCACAUCGAAUAUGUCCAAAGG
Molecule: long non-coding RNA, 231 nt
Filed under: Sorghum bicolor (sorghum)
Lineage: Eukaryota; Viridiplantae; Streptophyta; Magnoliopsida; Poales; Poaceae
Description: long non-coding RNA (SBIC_LNC007168)
Source: RNAcentral